RNAcentral lists this transfer RNA (87 nucleotides) under archaeon. Its description in RNAcentral is "tRNA-Ser". It matches the Rfam family "tRNA". From Rfam's summary of the family: Transfer RNA (tRNA) molecules are approximately 80 nucleotides in length. Their secondary structure includes four short double-helical elements and three loops (D, anti-codon, and T loops). The record is from RNAcentral.
GGAGGGGUCGCAUAGUGGUCCAUUGCGCCUCACUGCUAAUGAGGUGGGGAGUUUUUCCCCGCGUGGGUUCGAAUCCCACCCCCUCCG